This is a non-coding RNA of Maylandia zebra (zebra mbuna), 945 nucleotides long. The record is from RefSeq and is a predicted model, not a curated record. Lineage: Eukaryota; Metazoa; Chordata; Actinopteri; Cichliformes; Cichlidae.
UUGUGAGUAAAGGUGUACCUUGGGUUAAGAAAAAAUUACAUCUUAAACACCUUUUAUUACAUAUUUCUGAAGUAAAGUAAAUUUAAAGUAACUUAAAAAAAUUAUGGCAUUUAAUUACUUUUUGGACAAAUGUAACAUCAACAUAUGACUGUUCUAAGCAUAUCAAAUCCUAUAACAAAGUACAUAAAGGCAAAAUGGCUAUAUAGUAUUUUGUAGAAGAGAUUGCUUUUGAAAAUUUAUAUCUGUGAUCUUUUUGGCUAAUGUUACUUGCAUACUUGCAUGCCUGCUUACAAUGAAUAUUUGCCAGCUAUCUGACAUUUUCCAUUUUCCACCUACUUCAUCAGUAAACAAUACAAAUGGUGCACCUGUCACGACCUGCGGGAUCGGCAAGGCGCUGAUCAUAAUCUCCCCACUCCUGGCUCUCCUUUUCUAUCUCUCUCUCCCCCUCUCUCCCUCUCUCUCCUGUUUUGCCGGGGCGGAACUCAUGGCGGCUUCACGCCCUCGGCCCACGCCUUCCUGGAUUGGGAACACCUGGGCCUCAUCAGACCAGCUGGUAUUUUAGAGGGAGGAGGUCAGCUGUUCAACGCUGGAUUGUUGUGAGGACUCUAAUUCCCCGGACCCGUCCCCGUGUUUCCCCGUGUGGAGUGUGGAAGGAGUGACUGGUCACUAGCGGAGAGAGAAAGAAAAGCUCUGACCUGUUGAGGACUCCAUUGCACCCCUGAAGACACGUUACAGUAUCUGGCACCAAGAUUUUAGCAACAGAUCGUUUAAGUCCUGCAAGUUGUCAGUUGUGGCCUCAAUGGAUUGGGCUUGUUUGUCUAGAACAUUCCAAAGUUGGAUUGAGAUCUGGGGAAUUUCUGAGGGUACGGAUGCCACGGGCCCAGCACUGAGCUUCUUCUUGGCUUUGGCAGAGGAGAUCCAGGCUUUUACGAGACCCUUUGAAGA